This is a long non-coding RNA of Helianthus annuus (common sunflower), 1735 nucleotides long. RefSeq lists it as uncharacterized. Lineage: Eukaryota; Viridiplantae; Streptophyta; Magnoliopsida; Asterales; Asteraceae. The record is from RefSeq and is a predicted model, not a curated record. The transcript has 4 exons.
UUGAAACUCUUUCACUUACACAUGACGGUGUAUACAAUAUUAUUUCUGUUAGCUUUUAAGUAACCUGGUUUUCCACCAUGAAUCCUCAAUUAAGUCCCCCAUCUACCAUACAUACUGUCAGCUUCAAUUAAACCCUUACUUACAUGAGAGAAGACGACUUACGUACCUGACCACUGCAACUCGUCGUCCAGCAUUCAAUUUGUGUAUCUGCUGUAAAUAAAUGUAACCUCCUACCCCUCCCUCCCUGCCUUCAAUCCUCCAAUUACCUUACCAUCUGCCCCCUUAUAUAUCUACCAAUUGCCGAUUCCCACUCCCCAUCUCUGUCUAUUAUAAGGAAUUCUUAACAGUUAAAGAGAUCAUGCAGAUUCUUAACAGUUGCUGCUGCUGUCGCCGACGCCAGACAGAUUCCGUCGUCCAAUUUCUAUCCACCGUCAGUUGCAUCGACGGCGAAGUUUUGUUCAGCAGUAUGGAGCUCCACUCUACAAUGAUAUGAUGUUGCACUCUGCAACGAAAAGCAUACAACUUUUUAAGACACUAAUAUGUGGUACAAGUGGACUAUACUACUUUCAUAAAAAGGGUACCUGGGUAUACGUGCACGGUUGGCCACUACUUUGAAGAAGUGUGGGACCAGCGUGACACACCUUAUUGCAUGUGUUAUGCAGCGGCACAAAUGGUGACGAUUCUUUAUCGUAUACAUAAACCGGAAGAGUGCAAAAGUCUUAUUUUAUCACCUCAAACUUUGCUUAAUCUUGGUUGUCAAUAUGUAGAUAGACUUAGAGUCUUUCUUACUGAAAGCAAGUAUGGACUAUAUGACAUUGAAGCUCAACCAUUCCAUUAUCUCCGCGUGGAAAAAUAUGAAUCAUUAGCUAAGUCCGACAAACCAUACUUGAUCAAAGAUUUGGCGAUAUAUCGUACAAAGGAAACAAUCCUAAAAGCCCUUAUAAGUAAUUUUCGUGAAGUUGGGCCACAAUACCCAAUGCUAGGGGCAUGCAACAUGCAUGGACUUACAACUGCUAAGGCGGCGGAUACAACUUCGGAGAAACCGUUUAUUAGAAAAGAGCCUCGACUGAAAAAUAAUUAUCCCCCUGAUCAUUUCGUGUUCAUCACGGGAAUCCAUGUUACAUCUGUAAAUUCUACACGCGUGAAUGUACAGUUAAGAAACUCGUGGGGCGAUUGAGGAUUUAAAGGAACUGCAUGGGCGGGAGUGACUUUUUCGAAGAGGCUUAUGUACCAAGUAUUUGAGGAGGUUGAUUUCUUUUAACUGAUGUUUAUUUUGUUUAAAGUAGACUUAGUUCUCGAUUUUAGUUAUUGUUUACAGACGUUGUGUAAUGCAUUAGCAAAUCCCGCUGAUCAUUCCGUGCUCAUCACGGGAAUCUAUGUUGUAUCUGUGAAUCCUACACACGUGAAUGUACAGUUAAGGAACCUCAUGGGGCGAUUGGGGAUUUAAAGGAACUGCAUGUGCGAGAGUGACUUUUUCGAAGAGGCUUAUCUACCAAGUAUUUGAGGAGGUUGAUUUCUUUUAACUGAUGUUUAUUUUGUUUAAAGUAGAGUUAGUUCUCGAUUUUAGUUAAUGUUUACAGACAUUAUGUAAAUGCAUUAGCAAAGUUGGUGCUUCCUUUGUAAUGGGUUUGUUUAUUUUGUUCAUGUUGGUGCUAUUUGUUUUCCUUUUGUUUGUAAUGCUACUAGCUUUCCUUGCUCGUUUUACAUAAAUUACUGUUCAAAAAAUGUUUCCUUC